GGAUAGGCUAAAAGGAUAAAAGAGUAAAAGGGUACUGCCCCCAAAGGUCGGGGUAGGAAUUUCAACUAUAGAAAUAUAUUUGUGACUGCUGUCACACCCUUCUAAAUACAAAAUAGCGGCCUAGAAAUGCAGCCUACCUAGGAUUCAGGAUAGGAUUUGGAGCGCAGCCGCAGUGUUUCCUAGCUUUGCACUGGGAGGCUAGGCUAAAAGGCUAAAAGGGUAAAAGAGCAAAUGGCAAAUGCUGACCAGCCCUCUUUUCUCUCUUUAUACUGUUACUAGGUCAUGGAGGACCACCACCCCCCACACUCUGAAGCCCACCACCACCCACCCUCCACCCUCCGCCACUGCCGCUGCCUCCUCUCCGGCAUCCAGCAACCACCUCCUGAUCCCCCACUACCAGGGAGAGGGCUUGAAGGGAGGACAGAGAGCGACUGCUGGAAUGACCAGAGGGCGAAAGGAUGAAGAUAUUUUGGGAAUGACUCGUGGUUUUACAGGAAGAGAGCAGGUACGGACUGAACACGAUUGAUUAUGAGAGAGUUGAUCUUUGUGGCAGAAGAAAAGAAACAGAGAAAAACAGGAAUUAAAAAAAAGACAAAUGAUGUAAUAAGGGGUGGUGUUAGUGUGUCUGAUUGAGAGUAAUAAUGUAAAGUAAC
Molecule: long non-coding RNA, 653 nt
Filed under: Astyanax mexicanus (Mexican tetra)
Lineage: Eukaryota; Metazoa; Chordata; Actinopteri; Characiformes; Acestrorhamphidae
Description: lncRNA (ENSAMXG00005024750.1)
Source: RNAcentral